UAGCUAAUUGAAGCUUACUUCCUAAAAUUAGGAUUUAAAAAGAAAAUUUGAAGUUACAAAAAAUAACAAAUAAGGAGAUAAUUAAGAUUUUUAUUUGCUUGAGAUUAUUAAGAAGAGUGUUUUUGAGCACUUUGUAUUGAUUUUAAGUCCUUUUGCAUUGUAAUUCAAAUUCCUUUCUUCUUAAUGGUUGAAACCUAUCAGGAUUUUUUAGAUA
RNAcentral lists this long non-coding RNA (214 nucleotides) under Physcomitrium patens. RNAcentral describes it as "long non-coding RNA (PPAT_LNC009471)". Lineage: Eukaryota; Viridiplantae; Streptophyta; Bryopsida; Funariales; Funariaceae. The record is from RNAcentral.